CCUACGGGAGGCAGCAGUGGGGAAUAUUGGACAAUGGGGGGAACCCUGAUCCAGCCAUGCCGCGUGUGUGAAGAAGGCCCUCGGGUUGUAAAGCACUUUCAGUGAGGAAGAACGCCUGGUGGUUAAUACCUAUCAGGAAAGACAUCACUCACAGAAGAAGCACCGGCUAACUCCGUGCCAGCAGCCGCGGUAAUACGGAGGGUGCGAGCGUUAAUCGGAAUUACUGGGCGUAAAGCGCGCGUAGGUGGCUUGAUAAGCCGGUUGUGAAAGCCCCGGGCUCAACCUGGGAACGGCAUCCGGAACUGUCAAGCUAGAGUGCAGGAGAGGAAGGUAGAAUUCCCGGUGUAGCGGUGAAAUGCGUAGAGAUCGGGAGGAAUACCAGUGGCGAAGGCGGCCUUCUGGACUGACACUGACACUGAGGUGCGAAAGCGUGGGUAGCAAACAGGAUUAGAUACCCGAGUAGUC
Molecule: ribosomal RNA, 465 nt
Filed under: Vreelandella stevensii
Lineage: Bacteria; Pseudomonadati; Pseudomonadota; Gammaproteobacteria; Oceanospirillales; Halomonadaceae
Description: partial 16S ribosomal RNA
Rfam family: Bacterial small subunit ribosomal RNA
Source: RNAcentral